Molecule: non-coding RNA, 3310 nt
Organism: Amborella trichopoda
Lineage: Eukaryota; Viridiplantae; Streptophyta; Magnoliopsida; Amborellales; Amborellaceae
Source: Rfam
UGACCUCAGGUCAGAUGGGGCCACCCACUGAGUUUAAGCAUAUCAAUAAGCAGAGGAAAAGAAACUUAUUAGGAUUCCCCUAGUAACGGCUAGCAAACCGGGUACUGCCCAGCUUGGGAAUCGGGCAGCCCCGCUGCUCGAAUUGUAGUCUGUAGAAGCGUCCUCAGUGGCAAACUGGGCACAAGUCCCCUAAAAGGGGGCACUGGUUAGGGUGAGAGCCCUAUCGUUCCUGGACCCUGCCGCACCACGAGGCGCUAUUGGUGAGUCGGGUUGUUUGGGAUGCAGCCCUAAUUGGGUGGUAAAUUAUGUCCAACGCUAAAUACCGGAGAGAGACUGAUAGCGAACAAUUACCGUGAGGGAAAGAUGAAAAGGACUUUGAAAAGAGUCAAAGAGUGCUUGAAAUUGUCAGGAGGGAAGCGGAUGGGGCUGGCAGUGCCCCGCGGUCGGAUGCAGGACGUCCUCAUUGACGGUCUGUUGCUCGGCUCGCGAGGCGGACCGGAGCAGGUCACCGAGGGGCCAGAAGCCGCUCACGCUCGAGGGGAUGCCACUACGGUGAUUGGGGGAUGAAAGCACACGUCUAUCGGACGGACCCUUGGGGCCCGUCUUGAAACGUGGACCAAGGAGUCUAACAUACGUGCGAGUCAGCGGGUGUCCAAAGCUUAAAAGGUUCAAGGAAGCUGAGUGGCGGGAUCGUCGCCCCCACGGGGGUUGUGCACUGCCGACCGACCUUGAUACUCUAUGAAGGGUUCGAGUGGGAGCAUGCCUGUUGGGACCCGAAAGAUGGUGAACCAUGCCUAAGUAGGGCGAGGCCACUUGGGUAUAGGGGCGAAAGACUAAUCGAAAUUUCUAGUAGCUGGUUCUCUCCAAAGUAUCCCUUAGGAUAGCUGGAGCCUGUGAACAAGUUCUAUCAGGUAAAACUAAUGACUAGAGGCAUCGGGGGUGCAACGCCCUCGAACUAUUCUCGAACUUUAAAUAGGUAGGAAGGAGUGGCUGCUCCGAUGAGCCACUCCGUAGAAUCGAGCGCUCUAAGUGGGCCAUAUUUGGUAAGCAAAACUGACGAUGCGGGAUGGACCACAAGCCGGGUUACGAUGCUGAACUACACGCUAACCCAGAACCCACAAAGGGUGUUGGUCAAUUAAGACAGCAGGAUGGUGGUCAUGGAAGUCGAAAUCUAUAAGGAGUGUGUAACAACUCACUUGCUGAAUCAACUAGCCUUGAAAAUGGAUGGCGCUAAAACACGCGACGUACACCCGACCGUUGGGGCAAUUGCCAAGCCCCGAUGAGUAAGAGGGCGCGGCGGUUGCUGCAAAAACCUGGGGCGCUAGCCCGAGUGGAGCGACCGUAGGUGUAGAUAUUGGUGGUAGUAGCUUAUAUUCAAAUGAGAACUUUGAAGGCCGAAGUGGGGAAAGGUUCCAUGUGAACGACACUUGCACAUGGGUUAGUCAAUCCUAAGAGUCGGGGGAAGCCCGUCCAAGAGCGCUGCUAACGGAAGCUUCGAAAGGGAAUCGGGUUAAAAUUGCUGAACCGAGACUUGGCGGCGGACGGUAAUGUUAGGGAGUCCGGAGGUGUUGUCGGGGGCCUCGAGAAGAGUAAUCUUUUCUGUUUAACAGCCUGCCCACCCUGAAAACGGCUUAGCUGGAGGUAGGGUCCAGCGGCUGAAAGAGCAUCGCAUGUCGUGUGGUGUUCGUUGUGCCCCCGGUGGCCCGUGAAAAUCAGGAGGAUCGAGUGCCGCCCAUGUCCAGUCGUACUCAGAACCGCAUCAGGUCUCCAAGGUGAACAGCCUCUGGUCGAUGGAACAAUGUAGGCAAGGGAAGUCAGCAAAAUGGAUCCGUAACUUUAGGAAAAGGAUUGGCCCUGAGUGCUGGGCCCAGGGGUCCCUGCUCCGAACCCGUCGGCUAUCGGUGGACUGCUCGAGCUACUCUGGCGGUGAGAGCAGGUCAACGUGUGCCAGCUGGGGGACAGAUAGGGAACGGCCCCUCUGGGGGCCUUCCCCGGGCGUCGAACAACCGACUCAGAACUGAUAUGGACAAGGGGAAUCCCACUGUUUAAUUAAAACAAAGCAUUACGAUGGUCCCUAUGGAUGUUGAGGCAAUGUGAUUUCUGCCCAGUGCUCUGAAUGUCAAAGUGAAGAUAUUCAACUAAGCGCGGGUAAACAGCGGGCGUAACUAUGACUCUCUUAAGGUAGCCAAAUGCCUCAUCAUCUAAUGAGUGACACACAUGAAUGGAUUAACGAGAUUCCCACUGUCUCUGUCUACUAUCCAGCGAAGCCAUAGCCAAGGGAACGGGCUUUGCAAAAUCAGCGGGGAAAGAAGACCCUGUUGAGAUUGACUCUAGUCCGACUUUGUGAAGUGACUUGAGAGGUGUAGGAUAAGUGGGAGCCGCCCCUAGUGGCGCAAGUGAAGUGCCACUACUUUUAACGUUAUUUUACUUAUUCUGUGAGUCAGAGGUGGGGCAUUGCCCCUCGUUUUGGCUCCAAGGCUGGCCCUAGGAGGGCCGAUCCAGGCGAAACACAUUGUCAGGUGGGGAGUUUGGCUGGGGCGGCACAUCUGUUAAAAGAUAACACGGGUGUCCUAAGAUGAGCUCAACGAGAACAGAAAGCUCGGGUGGAACAAAUGGGUAAAAGCUCAUUUGAUUCUGAUUUCCAGUAUGAAUACGAACCGUGAAAGUGUGGCCUAUCGAUUCUUUAAACCUUCGAGAUUUGAAGCUAGAGGUGUUAGAAAAGUUACCACAGGGAUAACUAGCUUGUGGCAGCCAAGCGUUCAUAGCGACGUUGCUUUUAUAUCAUUUGAUGGUGGCUCUUCAUAUAAUUGUGAAGUAGAAUUCGCCAAGUGUUGGACUGUUCACCCAUCAAUAGGGAACGUGAGCUGGAUUUUGACAAUCGUGAGACAGGUUAGUUUUACCCUACUGAUGAACAUGCCACGAUAGGAAUUCAACUUAGUACGAGAGGAACCAUUGAUUCACACAAAUGGUCAUCGUGCUUGGUUGAAAAGCCAGUGCUGCAAAGCUACCGUGUGUCAGACUAUGACUUAAUCCCUCUAAGUCAGAAUCCAAGCUAGGAAGGAGCACAUGUCCCCUCCUCCCAUUUUCCGACCCAUAGUAGGACUGCGCUCAUGCACGCCAGGGGAUCGUGUCGUUGGUGAAGCCCCCCACAGUGGAUGCUCUCUGGGGGACUGCCUUGUAAUGCAAUUCCCGUCGGGCAGUAGGCAGAAUCCUUUGCUGACGACUUAAAUACGCGAGGGGGUAUUGUAGUGUCAGAGUGGCCUUGCUGCCAUGAUCCACUGAGAUUCAGCUUUGUGUCGCAACGAUUCGU